This is a long non-coding RNA of Cyprinus carpio carpio, 1310 nucleotides long. The record is from Ensembl. Lineage: Eukaryota; Metazoa; Chordata; Actinopteri; Cypriniformes; Cyprinidae.
UGUUUUUCUACAUUGCUAUGUGUGUUUCUUUUGGAUGAUUAAAAGUGGUAAAAUUCUCCUACGACUCCUCGCUCCUUUGCACCGUGCUCCUCACAGUAGCACCACGUGAUAGAAUUCCAGACCAUAACAAAGCGAGUCCCGACCUGAUCAACUUUGCGAGGGCGUUCGUGGGGGAAACCCUCGUGACGCUGUUCCGGAUCGGGAUAACUUACCAUUGCCCCGUGGAGCUCCCAGACACCACCAACCUUGGCUGGAAGGAGGCAGUCUUCCCGAGUCCCAAGUCAAGUCAGCCAUAGUCCAUGGCUCACCCACGCCUGCUGCCCAAGUUCACCGGCUGUUAACAUGGCAAGCCGAAUGAACAUUGAUAUGGCAAGCCGAACAAACUAUAAGAGUUCGCGCCAGUGUCGACCCAGCCCCAGAGCAAAGCCCAGGAUGGGCUCCUGUUCUCGAGUUAAUCCCAGGAUGUGCUCCUGAUCCCGAGUUAAGCCCAGGGAGGGCUCUUGCUUCCCCGUUUAGCUCAGGGAGGCCUCCUGACCCCCGUUAAAAGCCCAGUGAGGGCUCCUGAUCCCCAGUUCCACCCAGGAAGGGCCCCAGAUCCUCAAGUAUGCCCAGGGGGGCUACUGUCCCCCAUAUUAACCCAGUGUCGGCUCCAGCCCCAGAGCUCACUUCAGUGUCAGCUCCAGACUCAGAGCUCACUCCAGUGUCGGCCUCAGAGCUCACUCCAGGGUCGGCUCAAGUGCCCACUCCUCCAGAGCACCGGCCAGAGCCAGCUCCUCCAGAGCAACCAUCAAGAUACAUAGUUUUCCCAAGAAAAAAGUUUUUUUUGGGGGGUGGGGGAUCAUAUGCCCGUGGCUGUGGUGGCCAAGCCGGCUAAGGCCACGAAAGAUCCGCCAUGGCCUCCUGAGUCCCCUGAUCUGCCAUGGCUCCCUGAACUGUCUACUCCGCCAUGGCUUCCUGAUCCGCCCUGGAGGCUCUCCUUGUCUCCACCCUGUUCCAGUCCUGCACCAGUCCCCCCCCCUUAAUGGUAUUAUUACGGCAUGGGACACGCUGUCCGGGAGGGGCGCAAUCUGUCAAAUGUAUGUUCCUGUUUUCCUUAUUUGAUCCUUCCCAUUCCUGUCCUCAUCAUGUGAAUUCGUCUCCAGUUGUGUUUGAUUAGUUUGUAUUGUUCCUAGGUGUGUCCCAUUGUUAACUGCCCUAUUUAGUUCUAGCCCAUUCUGUUCUCCCUUGUCUGGAAUUGUGUUUCUCUACAUUGCUACGUGUGUUUCCUUUGGAUGAUUAAAUGUGGUAAAAUUUUCCUACGACGCCUCCCU